Molecule: ribosomal RNA, 437 nt
Filed under: uncultured Bacillota bacterium
Lineage: Bacteria; Bacillati; Bacillota
Description: bacterial SSU rRNA
Rfam family: Bacterial small subunit ribosomal RNA
Source: RNAcentral
GGGCCCGCACAAGCAGUGGAUUAUGUGGUUUAAUUCGACGCAACGCGAAGAACCUUACCAGGGUUUGACAUCCCGCUAACGAGGCAGAGAUGCGUUAGGUGCCCUUCGGGGAAAGCGGAGACAGGUGGUGCAUGGUUGUCGUCAGCUCGUGUCGUGAGAUGUUGGGUUAAGUCCCGCAACGAGCGCAACCCUUAUUGUCAGUUGCUACGCAAGAGCACUCUGGCGAGACUGCCGUUGAUAAAACGGAGGAAGGCGGGGACGAGGUCAAAUCAUCAUGCCCCUUACAUCCUGGGCCACACACGUAAUACAAUGGCGCAAAACAGAGGGCUGCGAAGGCGCGAGCCGGAGCGAAACCCUAAAAGGCGUCUCAGUUCGGAUUGGGGCUGCAACCCGCCCUAUGAAGUCGGAAUUGCUAGUAAUCGCGAAUCAGAAUGUCG